Molecule: ribosomal RNA, 394 nt
Filed under: uncultured Rhodocyclaceae bacterium
Lineage: Bacteria; Pseudomonadati; Pseudomonadota; Betaproteobacteria; Rhodocyclales; Rhodocyclaceae
Description: bacterial SSU rRNA
Rfam family: Bacterial small subunit ribosomal RNA
Source: RNAcentral
UGUCCGGAAUCCCGAAGAGAUUUGGGAGUGCUCGCAAGAGAACCGGAACACAGGUGCUGCAUGGCUGUCGUCAGCUCGUGUCGUGAGAUGUUGGGUUAAGUCCCGCAACGAGCGCAACCCUUGUCAUUAGUUGCCAUCAUUUGGUUGGGCACUCUAAUGAGACUGCCGGUGACAAACCGGAGGAAGUGGGGAUGACGUCAAGUCCUCAUGGCCCUUAUGGUAGGGCUUCACACGUCAUACAAUGGUCGGUACAGAGGGUUGCCAACCCGCGAGGGGGAGCUAAUCCCACAAAGCCGAUCGUAGUCCGGAUCGCAGUCUGCAACUCGACUGCGUGAAGUCGGAAUCGCUAGUAAUCGUGGAUCAGCAUGUCACGGUGAAUACGUUCCCGGGUCUU